GGGCGAAAGCCUGAUCCAGCAAUGCCGCGUGAGUGAAGAAGGCCUUCGGGUUGUAAAGCUCUUUGGUCAGGGAAGAAACGGUGAGAGCUAAUAUCUCUUGCUAAUGACGGUACCUGAAGAAUAAGCACCGGCUAACUACGUGCCAGCAGCCCGCGGUAACUACGUAUGGUGCAAGCGUUAAUCGGAAUUACUGGGGCGUAUAAGCGUGCGCAGGCGGUUUUGUAAGUCUGAUGUGUAAAUCCCCGGGCUCAACCUGGGAAUUUGCAUUGGAGACUGCAAGCUAGAAUCUAGGCAGAGGGGGGUAGAAUUCCACGUGUAGCAUUGAAAUGCGUAGAUAUGUUGGAGGAAACACCGAUGGCUGAAGCAGCCCCCUGGGUCAAGAUUGACGCUCAGUGCUCGAAAAGCGUGGGGAGCGCACAGGAUUAGAUACCCUGGUAUGUCCACUGCCCUAACGAUGUCUAACUAGUUGUCGGGUCUUAUUGACUUGGGUACGCA
RNAcentral lists this ribosomal RNA (495 nucleotides) under uncultured bacterium. RNAcentral's name for it is "bacterial SSU rRNA". It matches the Rfam family "Bacterial small subunit ribosomal RNA", at positions 373 to 850 of the family's 1533-position model. The record is from RNAcentral.